UCAGAACUAUAAAAAGUAUUACAGAAAAUACAAAUUUAUGGCAACAAUCUGGAGGAAAUAUAACAAAAGCCAAAGAUUUUAAAAACUGUAUAAACAUACCUUUAAUCAUUGGCGACGAAGAAACACCUGUCUUAAAGUAUAUUCCCCCUCCUGAGCUUCACCUUUUGUUAGGUGUGGUUCAAAAACUAUUUGAUUGUCUUGAAUUGGAGAAUACUAAUGUUGCAACAGAAUGGACAAAAAAAGCGGGAUUGAAACUAGAUCAUUAUGGAAAAUGUAACGGAAAUAACGCCAGACAACUUUUAAAGAAAGUGGAUAUUUUGAAGACGAUAUCGCCCGGAAUAAAUAUAUUGCAGUGUUUUCUGCAUUGAAU
This 370-nucleotide long non-coding RNA is filed under the name Sitophilus oryzae (rice weevil). RNAcentral describes it as "uncharacterized LOC115889939". The record is from RNAcentral. Lineage: Eukaryota; Metazoa; Arthropoda; Insecta; Coleoptera; Curculionidae.